This 468-nucleotide ribosomal RNA is filed under the name uncultured bacterium. RNAcentral's name for it is "partial 16S ribosomal RNA". It matches the Rfam family "Bacterial small subunit ribosomal RNA", at positions 28 to 507 of the family's 1533-position model. The record is from RNAcentral.
GACGAACGCUGGCGGCGUGCUUAACACAUGCAAGUCGAACGGAAAGGCCCUGCUUUUGUGCGGUGCUCGAGUGGCGAACGGGUGAGUAACACGUGUGUAACCUGCCCUUGACUUUGGGAUAACUUCUGGAAACUGGGGCUAAUACCGGAUAGGAGCUCCUGCUGCAUGGUGGGGGAUGGAAAGUUUCGGCGGUUGGGGCUGGACUCGCGGGUUAUCAGCUUGUUGGUGGGGUAGUGGUUUACCAAGGCUUUGACGGGUAGCCGGCCUGAGAGGGUGACCGGCCACAUUGGGACUGAGAUACGGCCCAGACUCCUACGGGAGGCAGCAGUGGGGAAUAUUGCACAAUGGGCGGAAGCCUGAUGCAGCAACGCCGCGUGCGGGAUGACGGCCUUCGGGUUGUAAACCGCUUUCGCCUGUGACGAAGCGUGAGUGACGGUAAUGGGUAAAGAAGCACCGGCUAACUACGUG